Molecule: long non-coding RNA, 760 nt
Filed under: Olea europaea (common olive)
Lineage: Eukaryota; Viridiplantae; Streptophyta; Magnoliopsida; Lamiales; Oleaceae
Description: long non-coding RNA (OEUR_LNC010301)
Source: RNAcentral
AAAUCUUGCAAAAAAAAUAAAGGAAGCUGAACAUAAACAACGCACCAGGACAAUACGACCAAAUAAAUCAACUCAAAAAAUUAUUUUUGUUAGGGUUUAGUGUUCUCUAAAACGAAGAUAUGAAAAUAGAGAAUACGAAAAUGAAAAAAAAAAAAUCAAUGGAAAAUUAAGAUAAACAACUUGUCAGAAAAGAGUGCAAUAAAUGGAUUAAAAAUGAUACACAGAGAAUACGAUUCGCAUGAAUUAACAAAGAAAAUGUACAUAAACAACUCGAAAAAAGAUAACAACCCAAGAAAUCAAUUGCACGCUUGAAUGAACAUUUUUGGGGUUCUUUUCUAGGGUUUGUGGUGGAUUAAAAAUUAUACACAAAGAACACGAAUUGCGGGAAAGAACAAAAACAUAUACACAAACAGCUAGCAAAAAAAAAAAACACACAAUCCAAGAUAUCAAAUGCACAAUAGAACGACGCGAGAUAUUUUUGGAUUCUUUUGCUAGGGUUUGCGGUCUCUACAAAGGGGGGUCUGAGAGCAUCUCCAAACACAACACUAAGUCACUAUCUUUCACCAAUUUUCACCAAAUAUUAAUAUUUUAAUUAUAUAAUUUUAGAUGUUAAAGCAGAAUAUGAGAAACUCCUAUUUUGCUGCUUCUUAAAAUGUGCUAUCAUAUAUACAAAUUCUUCUCUGAUUAGUUUUACUUAAAUUUACCAAAUGCUUAAAGAUAACUUAUUUGAAAGCUAAAGCAAAUAAAGUUGGGCUCUAAA